GAUUAUGGCUCAGGAUGAACGCUAGCGACAGGCCUAACACAUGCAAGUCGGAGGGGCAGCGCGGAGUAGCAAUACUUGGCGGCGACCGGCGCACGGGUGAGUAACACGUAUGCAACCAACCCAUAACAGGGGGAUAACCCGGAGAAAUCCGGACUAAUACCGCAUAAGACCACGAUAUCGCAUGAUAUAGAGGUCAAAUAUUUAUAGGUUAUGGACGGCAUGCGUCUGAUUAGCUGGUUGGCGGGUAACGGCCCACCAAGGCAUCGAUCAGUAGGGUUCUGAGAGGAAGGUCCCCCACAUUGGAACUGAGACACGAUCCAAACUCCUACGGGAGGCAGCAGUGAAGGAAUAUUGGUCAAGUGGGACGAAAGCCUGAACCAGCCAUGUCGCGUGAAGGACGAAGGUCCUAUGGAUUGUAAACUUCUUUUGCAGGGGGGUAAAGUGAGCUACGUGUAGUUCAUUGCAAGUACCCUGCGAAUAAGCAUCGGCUAACUCCGUGCCAGCCGCCGC
Molecule: ribosomal RNA, 510 nt
Filed under: uncultured bacterium
Lineage: Bacteria
Description: bacterial SSU rRNA
Rfam family: Bacterial small subunit ribosomal RNA
Source: RNAcentral